This is a long non-coding RNA of Labeo rohita (rohu), 1140 nucleotides long. RefSeq lists it as uncharacterized. The record is from RefSeq and is a predicted model, not a curated record. NCBI's taxonomy places the organism in Eukaryota, Metazoa, Chordata, Actinopteri, Cypriniformes, Cyprinidae. The transcript is spliced from 3 exons.
UCCAAGCAUAAGUCGCUGGGGGACGGGGAAAGGCUGUAACAGACAUUCCGGUGGAAGAACGGACAGAGAGGACAUUAUGCUGCCGGCAGACUGACAGACUGAGGCAAUGGUUAACUCAUGUAAACGGGGCAUAUCUACAAUUGUGGUGACCCCUCCAGCAGCAGCUGCUCGUGUGGCGGUCCAGUACCCUUCCCAGGAGGAGCUGAGUGCCUAAGGCAGGAGUGGAUUCCUGGUGGUGGUGUUGUUUUUUUCACAAGUGCUGGCUUGUAGGGCUGCACGAUAAUGAUUGCACUGAUAAUCAUGAUUGUUUUGAUGAAAAUUAUAAUUCUGAAAAAAAAACUCAUGGUUUUGGUUAGUGUUUUGAAAUCUGUAUUCACAUUAGAUUUUCUAAGUGACAAUUUUCCACCAUCGGGCUGAACCGUUCUCUUUGCUUAACCGUUCCAUUCCGUGCCAAUCGGGGCAAGUCAGCACGGAUAUGGUUUCAUUUUCCACUGUGGUGCUGAGAAUUCCAGCCAUAGAACGGUUUGCAAUCAUGCCGUGCCAUACCAGGCUCAGGUGGAAACACAACUGGAACCGUACCUGACCAUUCUAAGAAUCAUUCGGCCCAAUAAGCAGCUUUUGUUCGCAAAUAAGACUCAGAUCGCACAGUAAAUGAAGAGUUCAGAUGCAAAACCAGUUAAAAGCCAUCUCGGUCAAAAAUGAGAUAAUGAUACUGAGUGAAUGUUCUCAACACAUAUUAUACGUCCAUCGAAUACUUUUUCUUCAAACUCGCUAAAAUACCAGCCUCAGCCCAAUCAGAAGUACCAGUACUUACAUAGAAACCUAUACAUCUGAGCCUGAUAAAAAUGCAUUAUUUAAAGAAAGACGUCAGAUGGAUUUAGCUGGUUUUGCAUCUGAACUCUUUAAAUUUGCUUAAAGAUCGUUAAUACAUACUAAUUGCCAUGCCGUUUUCAACAGAUUAACACUGUGAAAGCUGGUAAAAACUUUAGAAACUCCUAACAUAACUUAAAAUAAUUCAAAAAUAUGUACUUUUUCCCCAUUGUAUUGCCACAGGUAGCAAAAGCGAUUUGGUUACAUAAGCAGCACAAAUGGCUUGUAACCAUUUGUGCUUGUAAUAAUUUGUAACCUGGCUGCCUUAAA